RNAcentral lists this ribosomal RNA (1894 nucleotides) under Staphylococcus epidermidis. RNAcentral's name for it is "partial 23S ribosomal RNA". It matches the Rfam family "Bacterial large subunit ribosomal RNA", at positions 545 to 2443 of the family's 2925-position model. The record is from RNAcentral. Lineage: Bacteria; Bacillati; Bacillota; Bacilli; Caryophanales; Staphylococcaceae.
AGAACUUGAAACCGUGUGCUUACAAGUAGUCAGAGCCCGUUAAUGGGUGAUGGCGUGCCUUUUGUAGAAUGAACCGGCGAGUUACGAUCUGAUGCAAGGUUAAGCAGCAAAUGUGGAGCCGCAGCGAAAGCGAGUCUGAAUAGGGCGUUGAGUAUUUGGUCGUAGACCCGAAACCAGGUGAUCUACCCUUGGUCAGGUUGAAGUUCAGGUAACACUGAAUGGAGGACCGAACCGACUUACGUUGAAAAGUGAGCGGAUGAACUGAGGGUAGCGGAGAAAUUCCAAUCGAACUUGGAGAUAGCUGGUUCUCUCCGAAAUAGCUUUAGGGCUAGCCUCAAGUGAUGAUUAUUGGAGGUAGAGCACUGUUUGGACGAGGGGCCCCUCUCGGGUUACCGAAUUCAGACAAACUCCGAAUGCCAAUUAAUUUAACUUGGGAGUCAGAACAUGGGUGAUAAGGUCCGUGUUCGAAAGGGAAACAGCCCAGACCACCAGCUAAGGUCCCAAAAUAUAUGUUAAGUGGAAAAGGAUGUGGCGUUGCCCAGACAACUAGGAUGUUGGCUUAGAAGCAGCCAUCAUUUAAAGAGUGCGUAAUAGCUCACUAGUCGAGUGACACUGCGCCGAAAAUGUACCGGGGCUAAACAUAUUACCGAAGCUGUGGAUUGUCCUUUGGACAAUGGUAGGAGAGCGUUCUAAGGGCGUCGAAGCAUGAUCGCAAGGACAUGUGGAGCGCUUAGAAGUGAGAAUGCCGGUGUGAGUAGCGAAAGACGGGUGAGAAUCCCGUCCACCGAUUGACUAAGGUUUCCAGAGGAAGGCUCGUCCGCUCUGGGUUAGUCGGGUCCUAAGCUGAGGCCGACAGGCGUAGGCGAUGGAUAACAGGUUGAUAUUCCUGUACCACCUAGUAUCGUUUUAAUCGAUGGGGGGACGCAGUAGGAUAGGCGAAGCGUGCUGUUGGAGUGCACGUCCAAGCAGUAAGGCUGAGUGUUAGGCAAAUCCGGCACUCAUAAGGCUGAGCUGUGAUGGGGAGAGGAAAUUGUUUCCUCGAGUCGUUGAUUUCACACUGCCGAGAAAAGCCUCUAGAUAGAUAACAGGUGCCCGUACCGCAAACCGACACAGGUAGUCAAGAUGAGAAUUCUAAGGUGAGCGAGCGAACUCUCGUUAAGGAACUCGGCAAAAUGACCCCGUAACUUCGGGAGAAGGGGUGCUCUUUAGGGUUCACGCCCAGAAGAGCCGCAGUGAAUAGGCCCAAGCGACUGUUUAUCAAAAACACAGGUCUCUGCUAAACCGUAAGGUGAUGUAUAGGGGCUGACGCCUGCCCGGUGCUGGAAGGUUAAGAGGAGUGGUUAGCUUCUGCGAAGCUACGAAUCGAAGCCCCAGUAAACGGCGGCCGUAACUAUAACGGUCCUAAGGUAGCGAAAUUCCUUGUCGGGUAAGUUCCGACCCGCACGAAAGGCGUAACGAUUUGGGCACUGUCUCAACGAGAGACUCGGUGAAAUCAUAGUACCUGUGAAGAUGCAGGUUACCCGCGACAGGACGGAAAGACCCCGUGGAGCUUUACUGUAGCCUGAUAUUGAAAUUCGGCACAGCUUGUACAGGAUAGGUAGGAGCCUUUGAAACGUGAGCGCUAGCUUACGUGGAGGCGUUGGUGGGAUACUACCCUAGCUGUGUUGGCUUUCUAACCCGCACCACUUAUCGUGGUGGGAGACAGUGUCAGGCGGGCAGUUUGACUGGGGCGGUCGCCUCCUAAAAGGUAACGGAGGCGCUCAAAGGUUCCCUCAGAAUGGUUGGAAAUCAUUCAUAGAGUGUAAAGGCAUAAGGGGGCUUGACUGCGAGACCUACAAGUCGAGCAGGGUCGAAAGACGGACUUAGUGAUCCGGUGGUUCCGCAUGGAAGGGCC